UGGUUCUGGCAUCGAUGAAGAACGCAGCGAAAUGCGAUAAGUAGUGUGAAUUGCAGAAUUCAGUGAAUCAUCGAAUCUUUGAACGCACAUUGCGCCCUUUGGUAUUCCUUAGGGCAUGCCUGUUCGAGCGUCAUCUAACCCUUCAAGCACUGCUUGGUGUUGGGCGCUUGUCCCCGCCUCGGGCGCGGACUCGCCUUGAAAGCAUUGGCGGCCGGUGUGUUGGCUUCGAGCGCAGUAGACCCGCGCGUCGAUCGCCUCUGGCACCGGCGUCCAGCAAGAACGCACCCCCAGUUUGACCUCGGAUCAGGUAGGGAUACCCGCUGA
Molecule: unclassified non-coding RNA, 324 nt
Filed under: uncultured fungus
Lineage: Eukaryota; Fungi
Description: partial contains 5.8S ribosomal RNA and internal transcribed spacer 2
Rfam family: 5.8S ribosomal RNA (bases 1-133)
Source: RNAcentral